This 497-nucleotide ribosomal RNA is filed under the name uncultured bacterium. RNAcentral describes it as "partial 16S ribosomal RNA". It matches the Rfam family "Bacterial small subunit ribosomal RNA", at positions 28 to 507 of the family's 1533-position model. The record is from RNAcentral.
GAUGAACGCUGGCGGCGUGCCUAAUACAUGCAAGUCGAGCGAACGGACGAGAAGCUUGCUUCUCUGAUGUUAGCGGCAGACGGGUGAGUAACACGUGGAUAACCUACCUAUAAGACUGGGAUAACUUCGGGAAACCGGAGCUAAUACCGGAUAAUAUUUUGAACCGCAUGGUUCAAAAGUGAAAGACGGUCUUGCUGUCACUUAUAGAUGGAUCCGCGCUGCAUUAGCUAGUUGGUAAGGUAACGGCUUACCAAGGCAACGAUGCAUAGCCGACCUGAGAGGGUGAUCGGCCACACUGGAACUGAGACACGGUCCAGACUCCUACGGGAGGCAGCAGUAGGGAAUCUUCCGCAAUGGGCGAAAGCCUGACGGAGCAACGCCGCGUGAGUGAUGAAGGUCUUAGGAUCGUAAAACUCUGUUAUUAGGGAAGAACAUAUGUGUAAGUAACUGUGCACAUCUUGACGGUACCUAAUCAGAAAGCCACGGCUAACUACGUG